UGUUAUCUUCUUCAUUCAAAUAAUAUGUAAACUCUUCUCGAAUGUAAAACGAACGAUCUACUUUGAAGAGUAACCCAAAUAUGGCUCUGUGUAUUCGGUUGAAUAGCCAAUUAUUUCAAAUCAAGUUGAGCGGGUCUGCAUCGUUAUUCUGACGAAGUUUGCAACCAGUAGUAAUUUUUUGAAACCUCAUCUAGAUUUAAGAAGAUUCUUGCCUUGACAACUGCUCGAACUCCCGGAUUGGCAUGUGCAGGAGAAGCAUGAGAAGAAUGCCUGCAUGGGAAGAAAAGUUUUGGACUCUGAAAAAGGAGGUGUGACAAAAACAUUUUGACAGUUGUUGAUUUCCACUGAAACCAAUAUCCAAAAGAAAGAGGAACACAGUUUUAUGUUGAUUCACAUCUUUAAAUUCAAGAAUGUUCAGUUGGUUUUAUUAUGAAACAUGUCACGUGCAUAAAACAUAUUCGUGAAAUGUACUCUGUCUUUGAUGUGUGUGUGAUUUGCAGGAUAGGAUGUGGGCAACAUAUACUGUCAAGAAUCUUGAUGUUUCUGAUUUUAUGUUUGUAAAAAAAAAUGUUUUGUAUUGUAAUAAACAAAGUUAAAGUCAA
Saccostrea cuccullata (small rock oyster) is the source of this 602-nucleotide long non-coding RNA. RefSeq lists it as uncharacterized. Lineage: Eukaryota; Metazoa; Mollusca; Bivalvia; Ostreida; Ostreidae. The transcript has 2 exons. The record is from RefSeq and is a predicted model, not a curated record.